CGUGGAGACAGGUGGUGCAUGGCUGUCGUCAGCUCGUGUCGUGAGAUGUUGGGUUAAGUCCCGCAACGAGCGCAACCCUUAUCCUUAGUUGCCAUCAAUUCAGUUGGGCACUUUAAGGAGACUGCCGGUGUCAAACCGGAGGAAGGUGGGGAUGACGUCAAGUCCUCAUGGCCCUUAUGUCCAGGGCUACAUACGUGCUACAAUGGCCGGUACAAAGGGUCGCGAUACCGCGAGGUGGAGCCAAUCCCAAAAAACCGGCCUCAGUUCGGAUAGGAGUCUGCAACUCGACUCCUUGAAGUCGGAAUCGCUAGUAAUCGCGGAUCAGCAUGCCACGGUGAAUACGUUCCCGGGCCUUGUACACACCGCCCGUCACACCACGAAAGUCUGCUGUACUCGAAGUCGCUGAG
Molecule: ribosomal RNA, 407 nt
Filed under: uncultured Methylomirabilota bacterium
Lineage: Bacteria; Methylomirabilota (SeqCode)
Description: bacterial SSU rRNA
Rfam family: Bacterial small subunit ribosomal RNA
Source: RNAcentral